GGCGAACGCUGGCGGCGUGCUUAACACAUGCAAGUCGAACGGUAAGGCCCUUCGGGGUACACGAGUGGCGAACGGGUGAGUAACACGUGGGUGAUCUGCCCUGCACUUCGGGAUAAGCCUGGGAAACUGGGUCUAAUACCGGAUAGGACUCCGGACUGCAUGGUCUGGGGUGGAAAGCUUUUGCGGUGUGGGAUGGGCCCGCGGCCUAUCAGCUUGUUGGUGGGGUGAUGGCCUACCAAGGCGACGACGGGUAGCCGGCCUGAGAGGGUGACCGGCCACACUGGGACUUAGAUACGGCCCAGACUCCUACGGGAGGCAGCAGUGGGGAAUAUUGCACAAUGGGCGCAAGCCUGAUGCAGCGACGCCGCGUGAGGGAUGACGGCCUUCGGGUUGUAAACCUCUUUCAGCACAGACGAAGCGCAAGUGACGGUAUGUGCAGAAGAAGGACCGGCCAGCUACGUGCCAGCCGCCGCAGUAA
RNAcentral lists this ribosomal RNA (478 nucleotides) under uncultured bacterium. RNAcentral's name for it is "partial 16S ribosomal RNA". It matches the Rfam family "Bacterial small subunit ribosomal RNA", at positions 28 to 523 of the family's 1533-position model. The record is from RNAcentral.